RNAcentral lists this ribosomal RNA (203 nucleotides) under uncultured bacterium KC430. RNAcentral's name for it is "partial 16S rRNA". It matches the Rfam family "Bacterial small subunit ribosomal RNA", at positions 267 to 467 of the family's 1533-position model. Lineage: Bacteria; Pseudomonadati; Bacteroidota. The record is from RNAcentral.
ACCAAGGCAAUGAUGGGUAGGGGCCCUGAGAGGGGGAUCCCCCACACUGGUACUGAGACACGGACCAGACUCCUACGGGAGGCAGCAGUGAGGAAUAUUGGACAAUGGGCGGGAGCCUGAUCCAGCCAUGCCGUGUGCAGGAAGACUGCCCUAUGGGUUGUAAACUGCUUUUAUACGGGAAGAAACCCACCUACGUGUAGGUG